This 452-nucleotide long non-coding RNA is filed under the name Brassica napus (rape). RNAcentral describes it as "long non-coding RNA (BNAP_LNC019005)". Lineage: Eukaryota; Viridiplantae; Streptophyta; Magnoliopsida; Brassicales; Brassicaceae. The record is from RNAcentral.
AGGUGUAUUGGGUUUUUUUUUUGUCACAAACAAACUUUCAUUAAAAAUAAAAGUGGUUACACUCCAUAGAGGAGACAUUGUUCCAGAACUGGACAACAUGAAAAUUCAGACAACCACAUUGACACUACUACAUAGAAGAUAAUGCAUCUUGCUCGAAAGAGAGGAAUUAUACAGCAGCGUACCAAUUCCUUUGAGAUAAAUAGGGAGGCAAAGUCGAAGGAAUCUGAGAACACAUUCAGAAAAGUCGAACUAUUGCCUGAAGCUGAAGGUGUAUUGUGUUUUUCAAAGUAGGUGUAUGUAGGCUACUGGUUAAACGCAUGAGUUGGGUCUAUUGUCUUUUUAUUUCGAAUUCUGGUGGAGAGAAUUUUGUGCGCCAUGUUUUUUGGUAUUAGCAAAAACUGAUUCUAAACCUAGAGGAAUAUUAACGACCAAUGCCUAACUCCUUCUAAUUG